Molecule: ribosomal RNA, 484 nt
Filed under: uncultured bacterium
Lineage: Bacteria
Description: partial 16S ribosomal RNA
Rfam family: Bacterial small subunit ribosomal RNA
Source: RNAcentral
ACUCAAAUGAAUUGACGGGGACCCGCACAAGCGGUGGAGCGUGUUGUUUAAUUCGACGAUAAACGAAGAACCUUACCAAGGUUUGACAUCCUACCAAUCUUUCCGAAAGGAGAGAGUGCCUUCGGGCCGUAGAGACAGGUGUUGCAUGGCCGUCGUCAGCUCGUGUCGUGAGAUGUUUGGUUAAGUCCAUCAACGAGCGCAACCCUUAUGGUUAGUUGGAUUUUUCUAGCCAGACUGCCCCGGUAACGGGGAGGAAGGAGGGGACGAUGUCAGGUCAGUAUUACCCUUACACCUUGGGCUACAAACACGCUACAAUGGCCGGUACAAAGGGCAGCUAAGUCGCGAGACGGAGCUAAUCUCAUCAAAGCCGGUCUCAGUUCGGAUUGUAGGCUGAAACUCGCCUGCAUGAAGCUGGAAUCGCUAGUAACGGUAGGUCAGCUAUACUACCGUGAAUACGUUCCCGGGUCUUGCACACACCGCCCGU